GAUGAACGCUGGCGGCGUGCCUAAUACAUGCAAGUCGAGCGAACAGACGAGGAGCUUGCUCCUCUGACGUUAGCGGCGGACGGGUGAGUAACACGUGAUAACCUACCUAUAAGACUGGGAUAACUUCGGGAAACCGGAGCUAAUACCGGAUAAUAUAUUGAACCGCAUGGUUCAAUAGUGAAAGACGGUUUUGCUGUCACUUAUAGAUGGAUCCGCGCCGCAUUAGCUAGUUGGUAAGGUAACGGCUUACCAAGGCGACGAUGCGUAGCCGACCUGAGAGGGUGAUCGGCCACACUGGAACUGAGACACGGUCCAGACUCCUACGGGAGGCAGCAGUAGGGAAUCUUCCGCAAUGGGCGAAAGCCUGACGGAGCAACGCCGCGUGAGUGAUGAAGGUCUUCGGAUCGUAAAACUCUGUUAUUAGGGAAGAACAAAUGUGUAAGUAACUAUGCACGUCUUGACGGUACCUAAUCAGAAAGCCACGGCUAACUACGUG
Molecule: ribosomal RNA, 496 nt
Filed under: uncultured bacterium
Lineage: Bacteria
Description: partial 16S ribosomal RNA
Rfam family: Bacterial small subunit ribosomal RNA
Source: RNAcentral